Molecule: non-coding RNA, 854 nt
Organism: Penaeus vannamei (Pacific white shrimp)
Lineage: Eukaryota; Metazoa; Arthropoda; Malacostraca; Decapoda; Penaeidae
Source: RefSeq, a predicted model, not a curated record
GAGCGACCGGCUGAGAAACCAGGUCAAAAAGGUCUGUCUUGCCCUCAACAUCAGCUCCCCCAUCACGGAGUUCCAGCUGAGCAACAUCUUGGUGGAUGAAGAGACGUUGACGCUUUACUGCAGCGUUCCUAAGGUUGCCAGCACAACCAUGAAGAAAGUAUUUCUGAGACUCACUGGAGGCAUCACUAGCCAAGAAUUCCUCGACAUCAAGGAAAGGGACAUCGUACAUAGCCAUCCGUUACUGAAGCCCCUCUACCUACCCAGAUACGCCAAAAUACGUUCGGACAUGCUCGCCUCGUACAGAAAAUUACUUUACGUUCGAAACCCGCUGGCCAGAGUGGUUUCCACGUAUCGGACAAGUGGAGAGAUUACACCGGCCGCGAGAGAGUCAACUUCCCUCAAUACUUGGCUGGAAAAUUGAAAGAGAAGUUCGGUCUUUCUUCAAGACAUCGUAGGAGUCUCGAAGACCUCGUCACCUUCAAGAAUUUCGUGAAACUUAUCCUCGCUCAGGAUGAUGAUGAGAUGAUAAUAAUGGACCCUCAUUGGCGCUCCAUUCAUGAGAUGUGCAAUCCCUGCGCCAUCGCCUACGACUUCAUCGGCCAGUUCGAGCACCUUCCCGACGACGCGCCCUUCCUCCUGCGCUGGCUGGGAGUCGGCCGCGCGCUCCGACGCCUCCCCGAAGACGAGUUCCGGAACGGCGCCGCGCAGGUCUCCCAUCGCUAUUUCUCAGACCUUGACGCUGCGCUCAAGCUCUCUUUCUUUGCAAAGUAUUUUCUCGAUUAUGUUAGUUUUGAUUAUGAUUUUUGGUAGUCUUUAUAUGUACAUGUUUCUUCUAUGACUGUAAUUAAAUAUUU